RNAcentral lists this unclassified non-coding RNA (1010 nucleotides) under Hevea brasiliensis (rubber tree). Lineage: Eukaryota; Viridiplantae; Streptophyta; Magnoliopsida; Malpighiales; Euphorbiaceae. The record is from RNAcentral.
AAAACAUAACAUUUACACCUUUUCUUUCCCGCAGAUAGCCUCAUCUCCGCACCACACGCGAGGACAUCAACUUAGCCGAGAAUUGUGUUAAAGAGGUGAUGGGAGACAUACCCAACUCAAUUUAGCUGAGGAUCACCUCAGCUAAUCGGGUCUCACCUCUCAGGUCUCUCCUCUCUUCUUAAUUUAUGGACAUCCACACUUGAAAGAACAAUUACAAAGUUGAUUUUUUUUUCCUUAGGUGGGUUCGGUGAUAGGCAAGCUCAGCUCUACAUUAGACCGAGGCUCAUCUGCGUUUUGGUUCCUACCCCACCCAACAAUGCUAGAAAGCCAACGAGGCGGCAAGAAAAGGGGAUCCAAACCCAAAUCGCAGGCAAUUGAUUCUUCCACUUUGGCCAUCGAUGAAGAUUGGGUCACUAAGUAUGCCCGCCAAGUUUCGAAACUGUUACUGGUUAUGAAGGUGGUUGGCAUUUAUGUCUGGAUUAUCGAUACCUGUUUCAAGAAUUCAACCAUUACUCUUUGCCAGGCGGUUUUUCCUAUUUCUAAUUCCACUUUAAUUUCCUUGGAUUCUCUAUCUUUCGAGAUAAUAAUCUGUAUUGUAGACUCUUUGCCUGAUGCUGCCCUCUUUAUGAGUGUGAAUUUCUUGUAUUCAUUGAUAUAAUUGGCAACUUAUUUUUUUCUUAUUUGAUAUGAGCUGGAGAUAUAAGGCUGGUUUGUUCUUGAUAGCUGCUGUUGUUAUUAUAUGGGUCACCUCUGCGGAAGUCACCCAGGGUAUCUUUACAGAUUACAAGCAGCCAUUUGCAGUGACAUAUCUUGGAGCUUCCUUGAUGGUAGUUUACCUUCCAGUAGCAUUUCUUAAAGACUGGAUAUGUAAGAUACUAAAGCAUCGCUCUUCUAAAAGUGGUAAAGAUGCAGGAAGCAUAAAUGAGUCUUCUGAUGGAUUUAACUCUCCUCUAAGCGAGAAAAUUUUUGAAAUUGAACUUCAGGGAACUUUGACCAGAAAAGACAGUGAG